This 194-nucleotide small RNA is filed under the name Streptomyces longwoodensis. Its description in RNAcentral is "c-di-AMP sequence". The stretch from base 36 to 194 matches the Rfam family "c-di-AMP riboswitch aptamer (ydaO/yuaA leader)". From Rfam's summary of the family: This family represents a conserved RNA structure found upstream of the ydaO and yuaA genes in Bacillus subtilis and related genes in other bacteria. The ydaO/yuaA element is thought to act as a genetic "off" switch for the ydaO and yuaA genes in its native state. Lineage: Bacteria; Bacillati; Actinomycetota; Actinomycetes; Kitasatosporales; Streptomycetaceae. The record is from RNAcentral.
UCCGGACGGACGCCUAAUCCUGCCGCCGUCCGGGGCCCGCACACCCACCCGUGCACGGCAGGAGCGGGGGACCCACAGGUACGACGCCUGUUCCGGUUCCCGGAACGGCUCGGGGUAAAGCCGUGUGCCCGCACACGGCCGGACAUCUCCAGUCCGCACCCGACAGCUCACCUCGUAGGCGCCGGAGAGGAAUU